CACGGGGGGAGCAAGCGUUGUUCGGAUUCAUUGGGCGUAAAGGGCUCGUAGGUGGCUUUGUAAGUCGGAGGUGAAAGACCACGGCUCAACCGUGGAAGCGCCUUCGAAACUGUGAAGCCUGAGGCUGGGAGAGGAAAUCGGAAUUCCUGGUGUAGCGGUGAAAUGCGUAGAUAUCAGGAGGAACACCGGUGGCGAAGGCGGAUUUCUGGACCAGUUCUGACACUGAUGAGCGAAAGCCAGGGGAGCAAACAGG
This 253-nucleotide ribosomal RNA is filed under the name uncultured bacterium. Its description in RNAcentral is "partial 16S ribosomal RNA". It matches the Rfam family "Bacterial small subunit ribosomal RNA", at positions 524 to 776 of the family's 1533-position model. The record is from RNAcentral.